ACAAGUUUAGAAGGGAUUUACGAGUGAAACAUUAAGUGUCUGGAAGGCUCACCGAGUAUGUUUGAGGUUUUCUAACCUAACCUAAACUUUCAGAAAUAAAGGUUUAGUUUAUGGGUGCCAAAUAUGUGUUAAUGAUUUGACAUCCUAAUAAAAUCUUCCUUUAUUUCUGAUUUGGUUUGUUCGCCCUUCAUCCAAUUAAAACAAAUAGUAAGGGUAUUCUCGUUAAAUCCUUAAUUUUU
RNAcentral lists this non-coding RNA (239 nucleotides) under Osmia lignaria (orchard mason bee). The record is from RNAcentral. Lineage: Eukaryota; Metazoa; Arthropoda; Insecta; Hymenoptera; Megachilidae.